UUUUUUUUUUUUUUUUUUUUUUUUUUUUUUUUUUUUUG
RNAcentral lists this non-coding RNA (38 nucleotides) under Prorocentrum micans. The record is from RNAcentral. Lineage: Eukaryota; Dinophyceae; Prorocentrales; Prorocentraceae.